CUCUACUGCUGAGCCACCAGGGAAGCCCGUCCUGUUUAAUAAGUCCAAAAAUUUAAAUAAAUUGCUUUCCUGAAGUUCUGUGAGUCAUUCUAGCACAUUAUCAAACCUGUUGUAGGAAUUCCCUGAAUUUAUAGCCCAUCAGUCAGAAGUACAGGUGACACGUGGGGCUCAUGACUGGUAUUUGAAGUAGGGUAGUCUUAGCCUUUGUCUUAGUCUGAGCCCUUACCCUGUGGAAUCUAUGCUAACUCUAAUCGUGUGUGGGCUCAGUUGCUGUCAUGUCCAGCUCUUUGUAACUCCAUGGACUGUCGCCCACCAGGCUCCUCUGGUGGGAGACAGUCCCCACCAGACCCAGGGAUUGAACUCCUGUCUCUUGCAUCUCCUGCACUGACAGAUUCUUUACCACUGCACCACCUGGGAAACCCAACUCUGGGUAGUUAGUGUUAGACUGAACUGGACUGUAGGACCCUCCACUCGUGUCCAGAGAAUUAGAGAACUGGUUGCUGGUGUUAGAAAACAUCACAGAGUAAGUAUAUGUACAGGUAAAUUACAAGCAUCAUUACAAUUCUCCCCUAAAUAUUUUGGCCUGUCUCACCUACAUAUUUUGGCCUGUCUCACCUAAAAAUAACAUGCACCAACAGACGCGCCCAAUGUAGCAUUUUCACACUUAGCAAAAAUUAACAAUUUCCUAAUGUCAUCUAACAUGCAGUCCAUAUUCAGAUUUUUCCAAAUGUCCCUUAAAUGUCUUUUAUGGCUGUUUCUAUUUUCCAUAUCAAGAUUCAAGGAGAAUCACAAAUUCCAUCUGGUUUUGAUGUCUCUUUACUUUCCUCUUUUCUAAAAGAUCCCUACCCUUUCAUCAAUGACAUUGGGAAGCGUCCAGGCCAAUUAUCUUGUAGAACGUCCCACAUUCUGGAUUUCUGUGAUUGUUUCCUCAGGCAGGGGUGUGCUAUGUAACUUUUCUAGGCUUAUAUCCCCAUCUGUGAAAUGGGUAUCCUCACAGUAGCUGCCGCCGGUUACUCCACACGGUAGAUGCGAGGAUUAAAUGCAGAAAUGCUUGGCAAGUGCUCGGUCUGGUAUUUGGCACAAAGUAAAUGGUGCUAUUGACAUUGCCAUCAGCAUCCUCCGCAUCACCAGCACGGUGCUCAGCACCCCAGGUUCCAAGCCGCAGUGACACGUGAACUCGCCCGAUCCUUUCCUCACCCUUCCGGGAUCUCAGGCUCAUUUUGCUCUGUUCCUUCUGUCCUGCAGAGCUUAAUUGAUUAAAUGCAUCUCUCACUAGCCCCUCCAAGAACGGGUGGUUAACCUCUACCCGUCCUCCUAAGGACACGCUCUUUGUUCAGAAUCACAGUUGCAUUACCCCAGAAUGGCUCAGACGAUCGUGAGGCAUUGACCGGUGCGGUGCCCACCCAAGAAGGAAGUUUUCCCCUUGAACUUGACCCCUUUUUAUUGGCCAAACGAAUGUGGUUUUGAAGGGAACUUUAUAGCGCUAUGAAAAUGUAAAACUAGCAUCACUUGCCACGAAAGAAAUGAUAAAAGUGAUGGAAACAAUUCAGGGCUGUUGAAUUCUAACCUCUUCCUAUUGAAAGUUUUCAGACUGGGGCUCACCAUCUGUUCGGGCUGGCAGGUAUUAGGUGUUAAAGACAAAUGAGCACCAGAGUGAAACUGCCUUGUAAAGUACUGAAAACCACUGGGGGGGAAUGACUUUCUCACUACACAGUCCAGGAACCUCUUUUGCUCCACGUGUGUCCCCCCGAAACCACUGCUGACCAUAAUGAAGAAUAAAGAAUUACCUCAUCUUCAAGGCAGAGGAGGUGGGCAAGCGAUAGGCCCUAGAGUAGACUGAAUUUCAGGUGCCCUUCUAAUUGAUUCCCUGGUGGCUCAGACAGUAAAGCGUCUGCCCGCAAUGUGGGAGACCCGGGUUCGAUUCCUGGGUCGGGAAGAUCCCCCUGGAGAAGGAAAUGGUGAUCCACUGCAGCACUCUUGCCUGGAAAAUCUCAUGAACAGAGGAGCCUGAUAGGCUACAGUCCAUAGGGUCGAAAAGAGUCGGAUACGACUGAACGACUUCACUUCUAAUUGUUCAGGACACCAACAAGUGGACAACCCAGCGGAAGGAAUGAUGAGAACACUGAAGCUUAACGAGGCUAAGUCACUUGCCCAAAUGUGGAGGACUGCAAAAAUGACCACAACUCUCCAUCCACCGCUGUGUUUGUCACAUUGCUGUCACCUGGCAAAGGGACUCUGCAGCUCUCCCCACCAAGAGUGGAAUUUGUUCUCCCACCCACUGGCCUCGUGGUCAACUUGAACCAGAAGAAUGUGGGGGAGGGAUGAUG
Long non-coding RNA from Bos taurus (domestic cattle), 2327 nucleotides. Lineage: Eukaryota; Metazoa; Chordata; Mammalia; Artiodactyla; Bovidae. The record is from Ensembl.